RNAcentral lists this non-coding RNA (162 nucleotides) under pig gut metagenome. RNAcentral describes it as "Lysine riboswitch". It matches the Rfam family "Lysine riboswitch aptamer". Rfam says of the family: Riboswitches are metabolite binding domains within certain messenger RNAs that serve as precision sensors for their corresponding targets. Allosteric rearrangement of mRNA structure is mediated by ligand binding, and this results in modulation of gene expression. The record is from RNAcentral.
AUGAUAGAGGCGCGGCUGUCAGGAGUAGGCUUUCUCAGAGAGACAGGCAUCGCAAAAGCCCAAAGGGGCUGCCGCCGAAGCGCCAAAGAAGUGCCUGCUUUUUUGGUUGCUGGUUCGUCGGAUAAGAUCCGCCGGACUGUCACAGAAAUGUGGAGUGCUGUC